GGGGUUGUGGCUCAGUGGUAGAGCAUUUGCCUAGCAUGUAUGAGGCACUGGGUUCAAUUCUCAGCACCACA
RNAcentral lists this transfer RNA (71 nucleotides) under Marmota monax (woodchuck). RNAcentral describes it as "tRNA.Ala". It matches the Rfam family "tRNA". Rfam says of the family: Transfer RNA (tRNA) molecules are approximately 80 nucleotides in length. The record is from RNAcentral. Lineage: Eukaryota; Metazoa; Chordata; Mammalia; Rodentia; Sciuridae.